This is a non-coding RNA of Acanthosepion pharaonis, 119 nucleotides long. NCBI's taxonomy places the organism in Eukaryota, Metazoa, Mollusca, Cephalopoda, Sepiida, Sepiidae. The record is from the annotation of a GenBank genome assembly.
UACGGCCACAUCAAAUUUGAAACAUCGAUUCCCCUACGAUCACCGAAGAUCAUCGAACAACGUCGAGCCUGGUCAGUACCUAGAUAGGUGACUUCUUGGGAAUACCAGGUGCUGUAAGC